CCCCAUAGCAGCUUAUUAUGCUUCUUUUUCUUGUGUCAGGAACGACGUAUGAAACUGCAAGUUGUUUCUGGUGUGAGAGAAUUGGCUCUCUGCAAGGACGUUGCCCAGGGGAUGCCCGGAUGUUUGAUGUUUUUCCAUCCGGUGAGAGGCUUCUUUCAUGUCCCAUAUUACAUGAGCUUUGAAGAACCAUCUUGGUGUCCUGGCGGCAGCAGACAGCUUGAGUUCUGCAAUUACAGUCCUUCAAGUAGUCCUGUGUGAAGCUGCUCAGCAUUUCCUUCUCUAAAAGGGUGAAGCAAACUUCAGCUGAAGAGCUCAAAGAAAACUGGGAUGCAGCCCGUAACAGCCUUUGCCAAACGAAACUUGUUCAUCUUUAGGGUGCCAUGGGGCUCUUUGUUGUUUAGACAAAAUACAAUUUCUUUGGUUCCAGUCCCCAGCAUGUCAUUUGAAUGCUUGAGAUAGAUCAAUGCAAAAUAAUAUAACCUCGGGGUCCUAUUUGCCCAGGAAUUCUAUUCCUAAGUAGAAACAGCUUGAGCUCUCUCCCUAAACUUCCAUAUGUCUGCCAUGACAGAAGAAAUCUGAGUGUGAAUAAGGAAAAGCACGGCUACAAUAACCAGCAGCUGCUGGCAAUAUUGCCCACAUUUUCCCCCUCCACUUCAAAUAACACUUUUGUAUUUUAAAACUCCACAACAAACUAAAAACAUCAUGCUACCAACAGCAGGCACAAGAUUCAAUAAAACAUGCUUUGGUUUUUAACACUGCAGUCUCUAUCUCUCUCCUUUUCACUUCUAUAGAACUUGUUCAUCCCAUCCAUCCCAAAAAAAAAAAAAUCUCAUAACAUUUAGUAACAUUUUAAGGGAGCGUGCUAUUGUAGGAAAGGGAUGCCACACUCGUACCUUAUUUGUGCAGUUUUUAUCGGUAUUUGGUUGGCCACAUGGUGGAUUAGACAAUUGGUUUGACCCAGCAUGUCACAUCUUCUUUUAAUAUGUGCUUUCUUUUAUUAUAUUAUAUUAUAUUAUAUUAUAUUAUAUUAUAUUAUAUUAUAUUAUAUUAUAUUAUUAUAUUAUGUGGGGGUCCCAGGUUCAAAUGCUGGGAGCGGAAUGAGCGCCCACUGUUAGCCCCAGCUCCUGCCAACCUAGCAGUUCGAAAACAUGCCAAUGUGAGUAGAUAAAUAGGCAGGAAGGUAACGGCGCUCCAUGCCGUCAUGCUGGCCACAUGACCUUGGAGGUGUCUAUGGACAACACCGGCUCUUCGGCUUAGAAAUGGAGAUGAGCACCAACUCCCAGAGUUGGUCACGACUGGACUUAACGUCAGGGGAAUCCUUUACCUUACCUUAUUAUAUUAUAUUAUAUCGUAAAUACCACCACACACACACACACACACACACACACACACACACACACACACACACACAUAUAUAUAUAUAUAUAUAUAUAUAUAUAUAUAUAUAUAUAUAAAAUCUUGAAGCUGUUAAACCUCAACAAUAAUCAAUUCAUUAUAAAAAAAACUGAUUCACAGGCCUGUAACACUGAGAGUCAUAAAAACCAUAUUUUAUGGGAAUCUGGCAUUCUGAAUCCAAAAUUCUGAAUCAGAUUUGCUCUAACACAUACAUUUUUUUUUUCCACAACUUGUUUUUGGUAAUUUUAUUUUGUAACAUGUGAUUGAGUAAAGAUUUCUUUGGGGAGUAAACAGUAAGAAAAGAGGUUAAUGUUUUCUAAUAGACUUUCAAAAUACUUUAAUUCAUUGAUAGAAGCACAGAAACAUUUUCAAAAGCAUUAAAAGAAAUCACACUGGAAGAUCAGCACCUGUACUUAAUAAAAAUUGAGUAACAAACAAGUAUGUAAACUUGUACAACAAUUUUAUUGUCUUUUUUGAAUUCAGCACCCCAUAAUGGAUUAAAAACAAGUACAAUAUUGAAAUAAGUAUUUUUUUUUUCUUUUUCCAUCUUGUGUUACUUAAG
This is a long non-coding RNA of Anolis carolinensis (green anole), 1957 nucleotides long. RefSeq lists it as uncharacterized. NCBI's taxonomy places the organism in Eukaryota, Metazoa, Chordata, Lepidosauria, Squamata, Anolidae. The record is from RefSeq and is a predicted model, not a curated record. The transcript is spliced from 3 exons.